UUUGGCCACCAGGGGGCAGUGCCAGUUCCGUGAAGGUAUUAAAAGGUCUUCAUUAGCUUGCUGUCAGUCAGACUGCAGGUAGGGAAGACAACAGGUGUGCUGAUGUCAUCUCUUUCUUCCUCACAGUUUUGCUAAACCGUGGUCUACUGCUGCAGCCACGCCGGUGCUUCCCUGUCUUUGUACCAAAUAAACCAACCUUCCACCUGCAUCCUGGGAUCACGCCAACUGUCAACCCUGCUCUUCCCGUGUCUCCAUAAAAAGACAAGUCUCAAGGAGGGUGGACUUCUCCUUGCCUGUUGAUAAUAAAACAAGCAUCGCUCCACCCCGACCCACUCCCACAAGCGACAGGUUCUGGUAAGGAGA
Nerophis ophidion (straightnose pipefish) is the source of this 363-nucleotide long non-coding RNA. RefSeq lists it as uncharacterized. The transcript has 3 exons. NCBI's taxonomy places the organism in Eukaryota, Metazoa, Chordata, Actinopteri, Syngnathiformes, Syngnathidae. The record is from RefSeq and is a predicted model, not a curated record.